Molecule: ribosomal RNA, 254 nt
Filed under: uncultured bacterium
Lineage: Bacteria
Description: partial 16S ribosomal RNA
Rfam family: Bacterial small subunit ribosomal RNA
Source: RNAcentral
UACGUAGAGUACAAGCGUUAUCCGGAUUUAUUGGGCGUAAAGCGUUUCGCAGGUGGAAAUACACGUGGCGGGUGCAAGCCGGCAGCUCAACUGUCGAAUUGCUCGUCAUACGAUAUUUCUUGAGUAGGUUGGAGGGAACUGGAAUUCUUUGUGGAGGGGUGAAAUCCGUAGAUACAAAGAGGAACGCCAAGGGUGAAGACAAGUUCCUACGGCCUUACUGACACUCAUGAACGACAGCUAGGGGAGCAAAAGGG